Long non-coding RNA from Gallus gallus (chicken), 953 nucleotides. RefSeq lists it as uncharacterized. The record is from RefSeq and is a predicted model, not a curated record. Lineage: Eukaryota; Metazoa; Chordata; Aves; Galliformes; Phasianidae. The transcript is spliced from 6 exons.
AAAAGAAGCUUAGUAUUCAUCCAUACUCCACCUAAUAAUAGCAAGCUCCUGUCUGUUGCGCAAGUCUGUGCUGUAGACAUGGUGACAUCAGCAUUAGAGACCCAAGGGACCAUUACUGAUGCCCACGUACUCCCAGGUUGCCAAAUUGCCCGGCCUCACCAACUGUGACCCACAGAGGGGUGUGACAAAGGAGCAUGUGCCAUAGGACAGCACAACACAGAGAGCUCACAGGAGCUCAGAUGACUGCUGAAUGCCGGUAUCCCCCUUGUUUGACUCUGAAUUCUGUAUAUGAAUGCAAAAGUAAACAAAGAAAAAUAAAUCACAUCAUCAUCACCCAUGGGAUAUAACAGACCUUCUGGACAGAGGAAAAGAAUCAGAUGUCAUGUGUACCUAAGAAUAUUUUUUUACCCUCUUCUGCAUUAUGUUCUUCUAAGCAAACCAUUGAAGCAUGAUUCAAUUGAAGACAGUACGCAGUGUGUGUGACACUGAUUCACAAGAAUGUAUACCUAAGAGUGAGCCGAGGCACUGAGCUCUGUAAGUUGAACUGGUUAAAAGGAAGAAGGUUGUGUCAGUCUGUUCAAUUUGUCUUCCAAUGACAGUUCAGAUAGGCACCGAUGAAUGAGAAUGCCAUUCUGAUGUGCCUAAUGUAUUGUAGGCAGCAAUCAGAUCUUUGGUAUAAACAAGGUAUAACAGGCUGAACAUGGUAUUCCUCAUCUGAAAAGGUGUCAGUGUCUAGACAAAGAGGAUGACAUCCUUUAAAGUGCCUUUGGAUAUUAGACAGCGAUUCAGUGCACCCUGGACUCAGAUGGUGGUGAUGUGGCUGAUGUAUGUACAGUCAAGACAAUUAAGUUACAUUAAUCACAUUCUGAGUCAAUUACAGUUCCAGGGAGAUUUGGGAUUUGCCUUAUGUAAGAAGAAGGCUCAUUUUAUGUUUCAGUUACAAUAAAGAAUUU